CCUACGGGAGGCAGCAGUGGGGAAUAUUGCGCAAUGGGCGAAAGCCUGACGCAGCGACGCCGCGUGAGGGAUGAAGGUCUUCGGAUCGUAAACCUCUGUCAGCAGGGAAGAACGGUCACUGUGCUAAUCAGCAGUGAAUUGACGGUACCUGCAAAGGAAGCACCGGCUAACUCCGUGCCAGCAGCCGCGGUAAUACGGAGGGUGCGAGCGUUAAUCGGAAUUACUGGGCGUAAAGCGCUCGUAGGCGGUAUGUCAAGUCAAGGGUGAAAUCCCCGGGCUCAACGUGGGAACUGCCUUUGAAACUGGCAAACUGGAGUGUGGGAGAGGAUAGUGGAAUUCGAGGUGUAGGAGUGAAAUGCGUAGAUAUCUGGAGGAACAUCAGUGGCGAAGGCGACUAUCUGGCACAUAACUGACGCUGAGGAGCGAAAGCGUGGGUAGCAAACAGGAUUAGAUACCCUAGUAGUC
Molecule: ribosomal RNA, 465 nt
Filed under: uncultured bacterium
Lineage: Bacteria
Description: partial 16S ribosomal RNA
Rfam family: Bacterial small subunit ribosomal RNA
Source: RNAcentral